CACAUAAAAGGUUACUCGAGAGUACAGCGUGAAACCAUUAAAUAAGUCUAUUUGAAAUGGACGUAUAUAUAUCUUGUAGAAUUUGCAUGAAAUAAACGGGAGUGUACAUAAUCGAACUCGAGCCGAAAUGCGACAAAUAUAACAUUUCAAGAUACCUUCAAUUUAUAAUAACACCAUUUACAAUUUAAGUAGCUCACAAUCAGAGAUACAUACAACCUUCUCACCUUCCUAAAAUCAGAUGCAAACUCACAAAUUUUAUAUAUAGAUCAUUUUGACUUUAUGAAUAUGCUUAAACAAGAUAUACAAAAAUGAUUACUAUAUAUAUAUAUAUAUAUAUAU
Molecule: long non-coding RNA, 339 nt
Filed under: Erythranthe guttata (spotted monkey flower)
Lineage: Eukaryota; Viridiplantae; Streptophyta; Magnoliopsida; Lamiales; Phrymaceae
Description: long non-coding RNA (EGUT_LNC002900)
Source: RNAcentral